UUGCACAGGUGCUGCAUGGCUGUCGUCAGCUCGUGUCGUGAGAUGUUCGGUUAAGUCCGCUAACGAACGCAACCCUCCGCUGUGUGUUAUAUGUGUCACACGGGACUGCCGGUCUUAAGCCGGAGGAAGGUGGGGAGUGAUGUCAAGUCAGCAUGGCCUUUAUAUCCUGGGCUACACACACGCUACAAUGGCCAACACAAUAGGUUGCUAAGCCGCGAGGUGGCGCCAAUCCAUAAAGUUGGUCUCAGUUCAGAUUGUAGGCUGCAACCCGCCUGCAUGAAGAUGGAGUUGCUAGUAACCGCAGGUCAGCUAUACUGCGGUGAAUACGUUCCCGGGGCUU
RNAcentral lists this ribosomal RNA (340 nucleotides) under uncultured Leptolinea sp. Its description in RNAcentral is "bacterial SSU rRNA". It matches the Rfam family "Bacterial small subunit ribosomal RNA", at positions 1030 to 1382 of the family's 1533-position model. The record is from RNAcentral. Lineage: Bacteria; Bacillati; Chloroflexota; Anaerolineae; Anaerolineales; Anaerolineaceae.